CUCGCAGUUGGAUCCGCCGGGCUAAAAUUCCGGGGUGGGCGCGCUGCACCCUGGGACAUGUGGUUCUCCGAGGGGCACGGGCGGUUCCUGCGAUCUGGCUUUCCCUGGCGUCUUGCACCAGCCCUCCCUUUGUGGGUUGCAUAGUUCCCAGGAACCUGUCAGCUCUUUAGCCUUUUUCCUGCAAAUGCAUUUCCGUGAGUGCCGGCUAGAUGAGGCUCACAUGGCCUCAGGUCAGUGCUGCACGCCUUAAGGAAUAGUAGUCCCUAAAUGCAUACUCUUUUGGAGUUGUCCUCUGCCCUCACCGAGAUUGCAAAACAUUAAAGGCAAAAAUGAAUCGAGCCUUUGACGGCAGUGUGCUGAGAGUUUUCCUUGUAAUCGCUCAUGUACUCUUGGCAACUUUAAUUGCAGCUGAGCUGCCUUUCUGGAAAGUUUCUUCCUUGAUUUCUAUCACCUUGCAUCAUCUGCUUUCCUCUCAGACGGACCAUUCAGGUAAACAAGCCCUUCCAUGGAGUGAAUGGAAAGAUAAUGCUUCUCUUUACUUCAGUGUCCCUCCUUCUGCCUGAAAAAGCAAUUAUUCUGGAAGCAUGUCCGUGUCAAUUGGAUUACGUUACCUGGGAGGUGGGCUAAAAACAUCAUCUGGCUAAAAUGUUUGCAGAAAUACCAUCAACCCGCUGCCAUUGUGGAUCGUUAGCUUGAGAUCAACCCAAUGACUUUCCACUUGCAAUCCUUUUAUGUUUAUAAAGAUUCCAUAAACACCGUAUUGUGUCAUUUUAAUACUAACAAUUCAACCUCCCCCCCCCAAAAGUAGUAAAAGCCUUUUUUUCCUAAGUUAAAAUUACAAAGUCCCUAUGUCUUUGAAGGAGAUAGUCUCAUAUAGUAUAAAGAUGGUAAAAAAUAAAAGUCUUGAUCAUAGUUCA
RNAcentral lists this long non-coding RNA (917 nucleotides) under Sus scrofa (pig). Its description in RNAcentral is "lncRNA (ENSSSCG00050076155.1)". The record is from RNAcentral. Lineage: Eukaryota; Metazoa; Chordata; Mammalia; Artiodactyla; Suidae.